AUCGCUAGGAUCCCUUCGGGGUGACUUUGAUGCUGACGAGCGGCGGACGGGUGAGUAACGCGUAGGAAUCUACCCAGUAGCGGGGGAUAGCCCGAGGAAACUCGGAUUAAUACCGCAUACGCCCUAAGGGGGAAAGGGGGGAACUCUUCGGAGACCUCUCACUAUUGGAGGAGCCUGCGUUGGAUUAGCUAGUUGGUAGGGUAAAGGCCUACCAAGGCAACGAUCCAUAGCUGGUCUGAGAGGACGAUCAGCCACACUGGAACUGAGACACGGUCCAGACUCC
Molecule: ribosomal RNA, 283 nt
Filed under: unidentified marine bacterioplankton
Lineage: Bacteria
Description: partial 16S ribosomal RNA
Rfam family: Bacterial small subunit ribosomal RNA (bases 45-283)
Source: RNAcentral